Molecule: transfer RNA, 72 nt
Filed under: bacterium
Lineage: Bacteria
Also listed under: 1 other name
Description: tRNA-Glu
Rfam family: tRNA
About the family: Transfer RNA (tRNA) molecules are approximately 80 nucleotides in length. Their secondary structure includes four short double-helical elements and three loops (D, anti-codon, and T loops).
Source: RNAcentral
GGCCCCAUCGUCUAGGGGUGAGGACGCCAGGCUCUCAUCUUGGAAACAGGGGUUCGAAUCCCCUUGGGGCCG